RNAcentral lists this ribosomal RNA (213 nucleotides) under uncultured bacterium. RNAcentral's name for it is "partial 16S ribosomal RNA". It matches the Rfam family "Bacterial small subunit ribosomal RNA", at positions 1290 to 1500 of the family's 1533-position model. The record is from RNAcentral.
AGUUCGGAUUGUAGGCUGAAACUCGCCUACAUGAAGCUGGAGUUACUAGUAAUCGCAGAUCAGAAUGCUGCGGUGAAUGCGUUCCCGGGUCUUGUACACACCGCCCGUCACACCACGGAAGUUGGGGGCGCCCGAAGCCACUUAGCUAACCCUUUUGGGAAGCGAGUGUCGAAGGUGAAAUCAAUAACUGGGGUGAAGUCGUAACAAGGUAUC